UACGUAGGGGGCAAGCGUUGUCCGGAUUUACUGGGUGUAAAGGGCGCGCAGGUGGGCUUGAUAGUUAGAGGUGAAAUCCUGUGGCUUAACUGCAGAACUGCCUUUAAUACUUCAAGUCUUGAGUGCGGAAGAGAGAGACGGAAUUCCAGGUGUAGUGGUGAAAUACGUAGAUAUCUGGAAGAACACCAGUUGCGAAGGCGGUCUCUUGGUCCGUAACUGACACUCAGGCGCGAAAGCGUGGGGAGCAAACAGG
This 253-nucleotide ribosomal RNA is filed under the name uncultured bacterium. RNAcentral describes it as "partial 16S ribosomal RNA". It matches the Rfam family "Bacterial small subunit ribosomal RNA", at positions 524 to 776 of the family's 1533-position model. The record is from RNAcentral.